GUCCACGCCCUAACGAUGGCAACUAGUUGUUGGAGGAUGAACUCCUUUAGUAACGCAGCUAACGCGUGAAGUUGCCCGCCUGGGGAGUACGGUCGCAAGAUUAAACUCAAAGGAAUUGACGGGGCCCGCACAAGCGGUGGAUGAUGUGGUUUAAUUCGAUGCAACGCGAAAACCUUACCUACCCUUGACAUGCCAGGAAGGCCGCAGAGAUGCGGCUGUGCCCCGAAAAGGGAAUCUGGACACAGGUGCUGCAUGGCUGUCGU
Molecule: ribosomal RNA, 263 nt
Filed under: uncultured bacterium
Lineage: Bacteria
Description: partial 16S ribosomal RNA
Rfam family: Bacterial small subunit ribosomal RNA
Source: RNAcentral